Long non-coding RNA from Scylla paramamosain (green mud crab), 1156 nucleotides. RefSeq lists it as uncharacterized. The transcript is spliced from 6 exons. Lineage: Eukaryota; Metazoa; Arthropoda; Malacostraca; Decapoda; Portunidae. The record is from RefSeq and is a predicted model, not a curated record.
CAGUGGUGCUCAUUAUUUUUGGGUAACAGGACAACAUUAGAUGGUCAAUGUAUGAUGAGCGCUUCAUAUUACCUUGAAUACGCCGUUUCACAAUGAUCUCCAACAUAAGGGUCUCCAGGACGUCUGCUUCGCUUUAAACCAGAAGGUUUAUAAUGUGGAAUGAUAUGGCCGGGAGCAACUCUACGAAUCCUUCCUCUAUUCUGCAACACAGGCAAGACAUCCUGAGGCAAUGAUAGGCUUGGCUCUCACGUCAUCUAAUGCUCUCCACGCCGGACAAAACUCGACGGCUUUUCCCUCGAGAACUGAAAACUAUAGGACAUGAAGAAGACAACAAAGAGGCAGUUUCUUUCGAGGGUCAAGUCGUUACGUGUGGACGAGACAUUCACUGGUCUGGAGGGAUGAGCGUUCAGUUGGGCUGGACCAAGGUGUGACUACUACUAAGGCGGUUCCUACAGAAUCGUGCAGCGAAAGGUCUAAUGAAGAGAAGUCAACCAGUUCUUUAACUGCAGAGAGGUCAGUACCACUGACCGGGAAGGGAGCAGCUGCGAAGAGACGCCGGGAGGAAGCGAAAAAGAACGAGCUUAUAACACUCGCAAGAAAUAGUCUUCUUAAAGAAUCGUUGGAAGACGAACACGACAUCCAAGUAGUGUCUGGCCUUCUGCUGAACCACAGUAAGCCACCAGCAGUGGUGAUGAGAUCAUAAGAUCCUCACCAGUGGUGAUGAGUCAUAAGAUCCUCACCUGCUGGUGUUGCUGGGCCUGCUGGGUGUUUCUAUGGGUGAGGCACCCUCAUUACUGACAGUGGAUGAGGACCUGACUUUCCAAAUCAUCCAUCAUCCAGAUGGUGUUCCCUAGUGGCAGAUUGCUGCUGAGACUACAAAACUUCCCGUUGUGCCUGUCACCAUCUCCAGUUGUGCCUUUCACCAGCCCUCAUUGUGCCUGUCACCAGCCCUCGUUGUGGCUGCUACCAGCUUUCGUUGUGCCUGCCACCAUCAACCAUUACGCCUGCCACCAACUCCUGUUGUGCCUACCACCAGUUCCCAUUGUGCCUGCCACCAGCUCCCGUGGUGCCUACUACCCGCUCCCAUUGUGUCUGCCACCAGCUCCGAUUGUGCCUGCCACCAGCUCCUGUUGUGCCUGCCACUACCCCUUGUUGU